GAUGAACGCUGGCGGCGUGCUUAACACAUGCAAGUCGAACGAUGAAGCCCAGCUUGCUGGGUGGAUUAGUGGCGAACGGGUGAGUAACACGUGAGUAACCUGCCCUUGACUCUGGGAUAAGCCUGGGAAACUGGGUCUAAUACUGGAUAUGACUUCUCAUCGCAUGGUGGGGGGUGGAAAGAUUUAUUGGUCUUGGAUGGACUCGCGGCCUAUCAGCUUGUUGGUGAGGUAAUGGCUCACCAAGGCGACGACGGGUAGCCGGCCUGAGAGGGUGACCGGCCACACUGGGACUGAGAGACGGCCCAGACUCCUACGGGAGGCAGCAGUGGGGAAUAUUGCCCAAUGGGCGCAAGCCUGAUGCAGCGACGCCGCGUGAGGGAUGACGGCCUUCGGGUUGUAAACCUCUUUCAGUAGGGAAGAAGCGAGAGUGACGGUACCUGCAGAAGAAGCGCCGGCUAACUACGUG
RNAcentral lists this ribosomal RNA (466 nucleotides) under uncultured bacterium. Its description in RNAcentral is "partial 16S ribosomal RNA". It matches the Rfam family "Bacterial small subunit ribosomal RNA", at positions 28 to 507 of the family's 1533-position model. The record is from RNAcentral.